UGGAAAGCCAGAUUUAAACUGUGAUGUUUGCGCUAUUCCUUAUGAAAUCGGUUAGAUAAUGUAUGCACGGUAUAUUUUCUCUUGUCAUAUACCGCACGUGAAGGUUAACAAAGAAAGAAAAAAAGAACAUAAAGGAAAGAAAAAGCUCGUUUGCCUUUGCAGCAAGAAUAUAUACUCGCAGGUCCCUGAGCACGGUGACGAGUGACUCGGCGGCAUGCGAGGAGUCAAGCACGAAAUUUCUGAAAGGACUUACCUACCUAUGAUCGCGGGGCACACUCGCCUGCGUCCUCGGAGGAAGAAGAAAGCGGUUCGCCUAGUAAAAGGCUGAGAAUAGCACCCAGAGAAUCUUGUUGGCCGUCCAAGGAUGGUUAACGGCACAAAAGUCUCCGAGCCAAGGGACGAGCUGGAAAGGAGUCUCGCAUGUGUUCAGGCUGCCGAGACCCGAGCACGCGGGCGCCGACGGAUGUUGAUGCUGCCACGCUGGUCACGACUCGUGGUCGCCGACCGGGCCGCGCUCUGCCUGCUGGCAGGGAGCAGCUCUCGGCGCACGCGGUGAACUGGACAGCUCUCGCCUCUCCAUCGGCACUGAGCGCAGAGGAGCUUCAUUCUGUGGUAUACACUUUCGCUUCCUCGACCCUGGCGGGCCCCAUCGGAAAUUUGUUCCUGCAGCGAUGAACCAGUCCUAGAAAACGGGCUCCAUUGGAAAUUUGUUCCCGCAGCGAUGAACCAGUCCCACAAAGAGGGAGGAAGGAAGGAAGGAAGGAAGGAAGGAAGGAAGGAAGGAAGGAAGGAAGGAAGGAAGGAAGGAAGGAAGAAAGAAAGAAAGAAAGAAAGAAAGAAAGAAAGAAAGGAAGGAAGAAAGAAAAAAGAAAGAAAGAAAGAAAGAAAUGAAUGAAUGAAUGAAUGAAUGAAUGAAUGAAUGAAUGAAUGAAUGAAUGAAUGAAUGAAUGAAUGAAUGAAUGAAUGAAUGACGUUACAGCAGCACUACUCUGAUGAACUGGAGUGACCGUGCAGCAAAUUUUCUGCGCCCGCACCCCAAGCCCCGCACCAUCCCUCGGGCUCCAAGCCAUUCGAUCCAGCACGGCCAAUAUCUUGUCGACAUCCUGCUACACAAAUCGCUUAGCAAGAAUUGAAAUAAACAUUUUCAAUUGUUU
This is a long non-coding RNA of Dermacentor andersoni, 1154 nucleotides long. RefSeq lists it as uncharacterized. NCBI's taxonomy places the organism in Eukaryota, Metazoa, Arthropoda, Arachnida, Ixodida, Ixodidae. The record is from RefSeq and is a predicted model, not a curated record.